UGAAUACGAGAUGCUACGGCGUCGAAGCAGUCUAUGUCAUACUUCCAAGAAAAGCUUGCACUGUCAUAAACAAAUAAUGCCUGUACCAUAACCGACACAGGUGGGUAGGUAGAGUAUACUAAGGGGCGCGAGAUAACUCUCUCUAAGGAACUCGGCAAAAUGACUCCGUAACUUCGGGAGAAGGAGUGCCUUAUUUAUAAGGUUGCAAUAACAAGAUCCAAGCAACUGUUUACCAAAAACACAGGUCUCCGCUAAGUCGUAAGACGAUGUAUGGGGGCUGACGCCUGCCCAGUGCCAGAAGGUUAAAGAAGUUGGUUAGCAUCCGCGAAGCUGAUAACUGAAGCCCUGGUGAACGGCGGCCGUAACAAUAACGGUCCUAAGGUAGCGAAAUUCCUUGUCGGGUAAGUUCCGACCCGCACGAAAGGCGUAAUGAUUUGGAUACUGUCUCGGAGAGGGGCUCGGUGAAAUAGACUUGUCUGUGAAGAUGCGGACUACCUGCACCAGGACAGAAAGACCCUAUGAAGCUUUACUGUAACCUGAAAUUGAAAUUGGACUUUACUUGCGCAGUAUAGGUGGGAGGCGUUGAGAAUAUUCUUGCGGGAUUAUUGGAGCCAUCAGUGAGAUACCACUCUUGUAAUGUUAGAUUUCUAACUUUGUAUCAUUAUCUGGUCAAAGAACAGUUUCAGGCGGGCAGUUUGACUGGGGCGGUCGCCUCCUAAACGGUAACGGAGGCGCACAAAGGUUUCCUCUGAACGGGUAGAAAUCGUAUCUAGAGUGUAAAGGCAUAAGGAAGCUUGACUGUGAGACCUACAAGUCGAGCAGGGACGAAAGUCGGUCUUAGUGAUCUGACGGUGCUGAGUGGAAAGGCCGUCACUCAACGGAUAAAAGUUACUCUAAGGAUAACAGGCUGAUCUCCCCCAAGAGUUCACAUCGACGGGGAGGUUUGGCACCUCGAUGUCGGCUCAUCGCAUCCUGGGGCGGUAGUACGUCCCAAGGGUUGGGCUGUUCGCCCAUGAAAGCGGUACGCGAGCUGGGUUCAGAACGUCGUGAGACAGUUCGGUCCAUAUCCGGUGUAGGCGUUAGAAUAUUGAGGGGAGCCUUCUUUAGUACGAGAGGACCGAGAAGGACAUACCUCUGGUGUACCAGUUAUCGUGCCAACGGUAAACGCUGGGUAGCUAUGUGUGGAGUGGAUAACCGCUGAAAGCAUCUAAGUGGGAAGCCCACCUCAAGAUAAGUAUUCUCA
Molecule: ribosomal RNA, 1243 nt
Filed under: metagenome
Description: bacterial LSU rRNA
Rfam family: Bacterial large subunit ribosomal RNA
Source: RNAcentral